This 292-nucleotide ribosomal RNA is filed under the name uncultured bacterium. Its description in RNAcentral is "partial 16S ribosomal RNA". It matches the Rfam family "Bacterial small subunit ribosomal RNA", at positions 505 to 796 of the family's 1533-position model. The record is from RNAcentral.
GUGCCAGCCGCCGCGGUAAUACGAAGGGUGCAAGCGUUACUCGGAAUUACUGGGCGUAAAGCGUGCGUAGGCGGUUUGUUAAGUCCGCUGUGAAAGCCCUGGGCUCAACCUGGGAAUUGCAGUGGAUACUGGCAAGCUAGAGUGCGGUAGAGGAUGGUGGAAUUCCCGGUGUAGCGGUGAAAUGCGUAGAGAUCGGGAGGAACACCCGUGGCGAAGGCGGCCAUCUGGACCAGCACUGACGCUGAGGCACGAAAGCGUGGGGAGCAAACAGGAUUAGAAACCCCAGUAGUCC